Molecule: ribosomal RNA, 253 nt
Filed under: uncultured bacterium
Lineage: Bacteria
Description: partial 16S ribosomal RNA
Rfam family: Bacterial small subunit ribosomal RNA
Source: RNAcentral
UACGUAGGGUGCUAGCGUUGUCCGGAUUUAUUGGGCGUAAAGGGCUCGUAGGCGGCGUGUCGCGUCGGCUGUGAAAACCCGGGGCUCAACCCCGGGCCUGCAGUCGAUACGGGCAGACUAGAGUGCGGUAGGGGAGACUGGAAUUCCUGGUGUAGCGGUGAAAUGCGCAGAUAUCAGGAGGAACACCGGUGGCGAAGGCGGGUCUCUGGGCCGUAACUGACGCUGAGGAGCGAAAGCGUGGGGAGCGAACAGG